This 380-nucleotide long non-coding RNA is filed under the name Homo sapiens (human). RNAcentral's name for it is "non-protein coding lnc-TMEM178A-1:21". The record is from RNAcentral. Lineage: Eukaryota; Metazoa; Chordata; Mammalia; Primates; Hominidae.
GAAAUGACCAAAGAUCUGGCAGCAGAAGGGAAAAGAAAAAAUAAUGGGAAGAAGAGGAUUUAUCUGACUCAACUGGAGAUGGCUCCCUUCCCUUAUUUAUUGUUGCAUCCUGAAGCUUCCCCCAUGCUGGGCUCAGUGUGAACAAACAGCGCGGGAGAAUGCAACCACUGCAGAGGCAUAUGUUUGAGAUACCUGGCCACUGGAGGUCAUCUCGUCUACUAUAUUCACCGCAGAUAAAGAAUGAAAAGAGAAUACACAACCUUGUGAUUGCUAGCAGUGAAAGCUCAGAGUUAUGACAUAACAACAAGGCUCUCUCCGCUUACUCCUCUGCUUGCUUGUGGAUGAAAAGGGCCACGCCACCCCUGAUUUGACAGUAUCCU